GAGGGUAUAGCGCAGUGGUAGAGCAUGUGCAGGAGGUCCUGGGUUCAAUUCCCAGUACUUCCA
RNAcentral lists this transfer RNA (63 nucleotides) under Camelus bactrianus (Bactrian camel). It matches the Rfam family "tRNA". From Rfam's summary of the family: Transfer RNA (tRNA) molecules are approximately 80 nucleotides in length. Their secondary structure includes four short double-helical elements and three loops (D, anti-codon, and T loops). Lineage: Eukaryota; Metazoa; Chordata; Mammalia; Artiodactyla; Camelidae. The record is from Rfam by way of RNAcentral. RNAcentral also lists the same sequence under 2 other names.